GACGAACGCUGGCGGCGUGCCUAAUACAUGCAAGUUGAGCGCUGAAGGUUGGUACUUGUACCCACUGGAUGAGCAGCGAACGGGUGAGUAACGCGUGGGGAAUCUGCCUUUGAGCGGGGGACAACAUUUGGAAACGAAUGCUAAUACCGCAUAAAAACUUUAAACACAAGUUUUAAGUUUGAAAGAUGCAAUUGCAUCACUCAAAGAUGAUCCCGCGUUGUAUUAGCUAGUUGGUGAGGUAAAGGCUCACCAAGGCGAUGAUACAUAGCCGACCUGAGAGGGUGAUCGGCCACAAUGGGACUGAGACACGGCCCAAACUCCUACGGGAGGCAGCAGUAGGGAAUCUUCGGCAAUGGACGAAAGGCUGACCGAGCAACGCCGCGUGAGUGAAGAAGGGUUUCGGAUCGUAAAACUCGGUUGGUAGAGAAGAACGUUGGUGAGAGUGGAAAGCUCAUCAAGUGACGGUAACUACCCAGAAAGGGACGGCUAACUACGUG
This 497-nucleotide ribosomal RNA is filed under the name uncultured bacterium. RNAcentral describes it as "partial 16S ribosomal RNA". It matches the Rfam family "Bacterial small subunit ribosomal RNA", at positions 28 to 507 of the family's 1533-position model. The record is from RNAcentral.